Long non-coding RNA from Myodes glareolus (Bank vole), 2368 nucleotides. RefSeq lists it as uncharacterized. Lineage: Eukaryota; Metazoa; Chordata; Mammalia; Rodentia; Cricetidae. The record is from RefSeq and is a predicted model, not a curated record.
CGUAACCGUUCCAGUGACGCGCGCGGGUCCUCGCCCGGGUGUCUGCUGCGCUGCCUGUCCGCAACCAUCCUCCUGCCCCUUCAGCACCUUGCUGAACAAACGGGCGUCCAGGACUGGUGGAAGGACAUGACUUGGGGCACAGGUUGUGAUCCUCAAGUUUGUAGCAGAAGAACAAAGCAGAUUACUGUAUCUGAAGAAGACUGACAGAGAGAAUAAUGGAAGAUGAAGUCAGGUGGUGGAGAGGAACGAUCAUGUAAGGUAUAUAUUAAGUCUAAUCUCCUACCUCUUGAAAGAAACAACUCACAAUGGAUCAAAACUUUAACAUAAGACCUGAAACUACUGGAGGGAAAUAAAAGGAAGCUACUUCAAGAUGUUGGUACAGGCAAUGAUUCACUCUUUCUGGGAAUGUAAAUUAGUAUAAUGUCUAUGAAAAUUAUGGAACUUCUUCAGAAGAGUAAAAAUAGAAUUACAGUCAGCCCCAGCUGUCCUACUCUUGGGCAUCAGAUGAAGAAAAGAAGUCAGCAUACAAAAGAGAUGAUUGCAUGUUCAUGUUUGCUGCAACAUUAUUCACAAUAUCUAAAAUACACAAUUAGCCUAAUAUGUGUGGCUGAAGCAAAUAUGGUGGAAAUAUUUUGUGGAAUAUUUGGCACUAAAGAAAAAUGAAGUCUUCCCAUUUGCAGCAAAAUGGAAAAAAAUAUGAACAUUGUGUUAAGCAAAAUUAACCAGAGACAGACAACUGCCAUAUGUUCCCUUUCAUAGGUAGAAACAUUACAAAAAAUCUGAAAGUAGAAUUGGGAUUAUUACUAGGUACUGGGAAGGGUGCCAUGGCUUGGCAAUAGAAGGUAGAUGGAUAUGAUAAAGACACAUUAUAUAUAGUACAUCCUGUGAUUUUCAGAACUUUUUAAAGUUCUGAUUUAAACCACUCUAUAACAGACUACCAAGGACUUCCAUAUUCAUGGAAGACUCAUUAAUAAAACAGAAUGUACUAUGUAAGCCAGUCCAUUCUUUGCCAGUAGGAAAGCCCAAAUUGGAAAUAUAGCUCCUUCCUUCAUCAAACCUUUGCUAGAUAAAUUAGAGCCAAAAUGAGAUACAUGUGCUCCUGUGAGAAGUGCAGUGCUGUGUGGGCAAGGAUAUUCACCAGAUGGAGCUGUAAUUCAUUAUUACUAGAUAUGCAAAAAUGAUACAGCCUCUUUGACACAUAGUAUUAUCUCACCUUAUAUAGUGUAAGCACAUUGUUUCCUAUGACUCAGUAAUUCUAUUCAUAGAUGUUCAUUCCAGAGAAAUGAACACACUUGUCCUUGCAAAAUAUGUUUGUGAGUGAUAGCAUCAUUGCUGAAAUUUCUACCACUUGGUGGCUGAAUAAAAAAAAUUGUGGUCUAUGCAUAACCAUAGAAUUCUGACUAGCAAUAUGCAUAACAUAAUAUAUGAAGUUCAAAAUUACACUACUAAACAGAAUCAAACACAAGCACUUUGCUUUAUAUGAUUAUGUUUAUAUAAAGUAUUAGAAAAGGCAAAAUUCCAGUGAUAGAAAGGAGAUCAAUAUACUUAGGGUCAAGAUACAGGAGAUAAUCAACACACAAGGUCCUUUCAAAGACAGAUGUGUGAAAAACCUUCCUUUCUGUGAGGAACUUCGAUAGUAGUAGUGGUACCAUGCUUUGCAAUCGACAGACGGCAGCAAACUUGUGCUUGAAAUUAGAGAAUUGUAUUAAAUGAAAUUAACAACACAUUAAGAAAACAAUUAUUUUGUGAGGAUAAAAUCAGUUUCAGUUGUCCAAUAAAUAGUGUCACUCCAUCUGUUCUCUUUUUAGUAUGUUCACAGAUUAUGUUAGACUUUGAAUGAGAUCAUUAUACCUACCAACAUUGGAGGAGCAUCCAUUUUUUUCUGAUUCUUUGUCCCAAGCGAGAGGAGUUUGAGAAUUUCUGUAUCUAAAAUGUUUUAAAUAUGGAGGAAAUGAUGCUUAUUCCAGACUCUAUUCUUAUAUCAAGCACACGUUUAGUUAACUAUGAAUGUCUUUGAAAGAAAUUUUGGUAAUUAUUUGGGACUGUAAAAUAUAAAUCUUCCCAAGCUAUCUUUAAUGACACUUAAUUUUCAAUCACUGUGUAUCAGAUGCUCAUUAGUUAUGAAUGUUUGAAAGUAAAUUUGCAUCCAAUAAUGAUAUCACCAGUACUGUAGUAUAUAAAACACUACCUUAAUUUCUUCAACAUUGUGUUCUUAUUCUCUCUCAGAAAAGGUAAUAUGAAGGAUCCUGUUCCUUAUUUUGUUCCCAAAUUGUGGCACUCUAUUAUUUGAAGCCUUUACCUACCUGUAAUAUUUUAUUCAUAAUGUUUAUUCAGUAACUUAAAGUAUAAUUAAAAUUUUGUUUUCCUA